Molecule: long non-coding RNA, 637 nt
Filed under: Manacus vitellinus (golden-collared manakin)
Lineage: Eukaryota; Metazoa; Chordata; Aves; Passeriformes; Pipridae
Description: lncRNA (ENSMVIG00005002541.1)
Source: RNAcentral
UAAGUUUAUAUAUAGAUAGCUAUUAAAUACAUUUGACACUAUAAGGAGCUCUCUCUGCUUCUCUCCAUAGAGAGAGGAACAUUUGUGAGACAGUACACUAAUAUGGGGUCAAUGUUUUAAAUGCAGAUUUCAGCUACAGAAGCUACACCAGUGACAACUAUGAAUAUGGAUAUGACAACAAGCUUGGAAUUACAAGGUUGACAUCAAUGGCUGUAUUAAUAUGAGACAAGAUGGAAACGUAGAUGGCAUGCAAGAGGGUAACCUGCUACUUCUUUCACAUGAUUUUGAAUUGGUCAGAGCUCCACAAAAUCUGCUCCAACUGAUGCCAAUGGCAGAAUGCCUCUUGAUGCUCAUGGGAGCUGCACUGGACCAGCCUUGUAUCCUUUCCACACGCUUACUGUUUUUCAGGUUUCCCUGGCCAAAAAUGCUGCAUCACUCUGCACAUCUUAAUUCUGUUAAUAAAAAAACCUUUUACCCAUGAAUUUGAAGAACUUUGCAAGUCUGCAUAAAUAUAUUUAUGAAAGUUUGACUGCAGAUUAUAUAAAGAUUCCUCCAUUUUGACACAAAUCAAAUUAAUCCUCUUUGAAUCUUCACUGAAAUGGUGAUGCUAGGCUAAAUAAAUCUCUUUGAAUUCUCA